GGGGGGGGGGAGAGAGAGAGAGGGAGAGAGAGGAGGUCAAUAACCCUUUAUAUGGCUGGUCUCUAGAGAGAAAGAGGAGAUCAAUAACCCUUUACAGUUGGGCAAAAAAGUAUUUAGUCAGCCACCAAUUGUGCAUGUUCUCCCACUUAAAAAGAUGAGAGAGGCCUGUAAUUUUCAUCAUAGGUACACUUCAACUAUGACAGACAAAAUGAGGAAAAAAAAUACAGAAAAUCACAUUGUAGGAUUUUUAAUUAAUUUAUUUGCAAACGAUGGUGGAAAAUAAGUAUACAUCUGACUGUGUUUCUUAAUUUGUAUAAUUUAGUUUAUUAAUUUAAUUUAGUUCAAUGUUCUUUAGUCCUCAUGGCGAUCAGCACAUCACCACUUUACAACGCGAGCUGGAGAACAUAUGCAUUUUGAAUGCACUUCAUUUACUUGAAAUCUGAAUGUUUUAAUAUUAUAUUAAUAUUGUUAUUAAUUAUUAAUUAUAUUAUGAGGCGUUUCUUACCUUGCCUUUAGAGAGUCAUAAUGCGACCAUGGAAACGGAGAGGCAAUUAUUUUACAAAGACUUCAUAGGCAAGCGAGUAAGUUUUAAAGGUUUUUUUUUGUGGGGGGGGGGGUGAGCUUACAAUUUAUCCUACAAUUUCUACCGAUCUGCGUGCCAGCUAUCAUUUUCAUAUGUAACGAAAUGUUAAUUUGAAUAUGGAAUCGUUAUCAGGCGCUCUGUUUGGAAUAGUGUUUUUCCAGUGAAUUGCAUUUUGGGAAAUGUUGUUUUCUUGGUUGCUUUAUUACAGGAGUUGCUUGUUCUGUUGAGAUGAAUUAGCAUAAUCCUAUAUUUCUGUCGUUCCGAGCAUCGUGGUUGGACGUCCCAAUGAAUAUGGCUCAGGUUAAUUUCUCUAAUGGCCUGUACAUUAACAUCUUCCCGGUCACGUGGUCCAGGGGACACAUUUUCCUAAUGGAGAUCCUGCCACACACACAUACACACACAUACACACACACACACACACACACACACACACAUACAAGCACACGCACAUGCACACGCACACGCACACACACACACACACACAGUUUUGUACAGCUAACCUUGUGGGGACACACAAUUCAGUCCAAUUGAAAAAUCCUAUUUUUCCAAACCCCUGAUAGUAAACGGAACCCUAACCCCUAACAUGUACUCUCACCCUAAACUUACCACAAAAACCUAACCCUAAAACUAACCCUAGCUCCUAGCUCCUAACCCUAAAACUAACCCUAGCUCCUAAUCCUAAAACUAACCCUAGCUCCUAGCUCCUAACCCUAAUACUAAUCCUAGCUCCUAACCCUAAAACUAACCCUAGCUCCUAACCCUAAAAAGAACCCUAGCUCCUAGCUCCUAACCCUAAAACUAACCAAAGCUCCUAACCCUAAAAUUAAUCCUAGCUCCUAGCUCCUAACCCUAAAACUAACCCUAGCUCCUAGCUCCUAACCCUAAAACUAAUCCAAGCUCCUAGCUCCUAACCCUAAAACUAACCCUAGUUCCUAGCUCCUAACCCUAAAACUAACCCUAGCUCCUAGCUCCUAACCCUAAAACUAACCCUAGCUGCUAACCCUAAAACUAACACUAGCUCCUAUCGCCUAACCCUAAAACUAACCCUAACUCCUAACCCUAGCUCCUAUAUCCUAACCCUAGCUCCUAAACCUAAAACCAACCCUGUCUCCUAUCUCCUAACCCUAAAACUAACCCUAGCUCCAAACCCUACAAACCUAAUUCUAAGCUUAAACCUAAACCCUUUAGAAAUAGUAAUUGAUCUUGUGGGGACUAAGAAAAUGUCCCUAGUUGGUAUGAUUUAUGUUUGUUGACUAUUCUCAUAAGAACAUCUGGUCCCCACAAGAAUAGUCAAACACGUCCACACACACACACACACACACACACACACACACACACACACACACACACACACACACACACACACUCAGGUUCCCCCCCAUGUUUAAUGAAUGGAUGUGAAGCUUGAAGACGUUUCUCGUAAUAAAUGCAUUAAUCUGUUA
Molecule: long non-coding RNA, 2025 nt
Organism: Oncorhynchus masou masou (cherry salmon)
Lineage: Eukaryota; Metazoa; Chordata; Actinopteri; Salmoniformes; Salmonidae
Exons: 2
Source: RefSeq, a predicted model, not a curated record